Molecule: ribosomal RNA, 375 nt
Filed under: uncultured organism
Description: partial 16S ribosomal RNA
Rfam family: Bacterial small subunit ribosomal RNA
Source: RNAcentral
GGGGGGAGCGAGCGUUGUUCGGAAUUACUGGGCGUAAAGGGCGUGUAGGCGGACUCGGUAGUCAGGCGUGAAAACUCAUGGCUUAACCAUGAGCCUGCGUCUGAAACUCCUUGUCUUGAGUACAGAAGAGGAGAGUGGAAUUCCUGGUGUAGCGGUGAAAUGCGUAGAUAUCAGGAAGAACACCGGUGGCGAAGGCGACUCUCUGGUCUGAUACUGACGCUGAUGCGCGAAAGCGUGGGGGGAGCAAACAGGAUUAGAUACCCUGGUAGUCCACGCCGUAAACGAUGGGCACUAGGUGUUGGGGGUUAUCGAUCCCCCCGAGUGCCGAAGUUAACGCAUUAAGUGCCCCCGCCUGGGAGUACGAUCGCAAGAUUG